GCAUAUCAAUAAGCGGAGGAAAAGAAACUAACAAGGAUUCCCUUAGUAACGGCGAGUGAAGCGGGAAGAGCUCAAAUUUGAAAUCUUCAAGGUUCUACCUUGACGAAUUGUAGUUUAAAGAAGUGUUUUCUGUUAGAUGAGUAGCAAAAGUUCCUUGGAAUGGGACAUCAUAGAGGGUGAGAAUCCCGUAUUUGGUUAUUCAUUCUAGCUUUGUGAUACACUUUCAAAGAGUCGGAUUGUUUGGGAAUGCAGUCCAAAAUGGGUGGUAAAUUUCAUCUAAAGCUAAAUAUUGGCGAGAGACCGAUAGCGAACAAGUACCGUGAGGGAAAGAUGGAAAGAACUUUGAAAAGAGAGUUAAACAGUACGUGAAAUUGUCAAAAGGGAAGCGUUUGACACCAGUGUUGUUUUUCCGAAAAUCAAUUACGAAUGGCUUGAUUUUGUGUUGUAUUGACCUUAUCAGCUUUCUGCACUUUUUUCGAGUCUUUCUUAAUGCACUUUUCGGUUAACAAGUCAACAUCAAUUUCUUUUGUUGUAAAAGAGUAUUCGGAAGGUGGCUUUCUUUUCGGAGAAAGUGUUUAUAGCCCUAUACUUCUACAAUCGGAGAGAUUGAGGUCUGCAGCGUAGAUCCUUCGGGGUUAGAUACACUUGUGCUAAGUUGUAGCUUUUCAUAGACAACUUGUUGACUAUGUUUAGUCAUGCGGCUUACUCGCUUAUGCUAUUUUACCUACGCUUAGGAUGUUGACAAAAUGGUUUUAAACGACCCGUCUUGAAACACGGACC
RNAcentral lists this ribosomal RNA (780 nucleotides) under Neocallimastix frontalis. RNAcentral describes it as "partial large subunit ribosomal RNA". It matches the Rfam family "Eukaryotic large subunit ribosomal RNA", at positions 38 to 667 of the family's 3401-position model. The record is from RNAcentral. Lineage: Eukaryota; Fungi; Neocallimastigomycota; Neocallimastigomycetes; Neocallimastigales; Neocallimastigaceae.